RNAcentral lists this long non-coding RNA (1102 nucleotides) under Junco hyemalis (dark-eyed junco). RNAcentral describes it as "lncRNA (ENSJHYG00000010657.1)". The record is from RNAcentral. Lineage: Eukaryota; Metazoa; Chordata; Aves; Passeriformes; Passerellidae.
CAAGGAGGGUUCUUGUUCUGGGCACACAGCUAUGGAAAAACAUUAAAAAAUAAUCUCUAAGGAAUUUCAGCCUGAAUGCCUGGAAAUACUCAGUAUGAGGCACAGCUAGUGAUUAGAAAUGUAUCUGGCAGAGACUAUGGGAUUUCUCCAUCAGUCAGCUUCCCUCUUUGUGAGCACAGGCAGGUUCAUACCAGCAUUCAUAUAAUUUUGUCUUAACUGCUGCUGCUUCUUAGUAUAAAAAGACUUCAAAUGGCAUUUUUCUUACUAGCCUUCCUAGCAGAUGCUCCCAUGGCACCUAGGAUCUGGGAGCCUCAAUAUGAUGAAUUAGUCUCCCCCUCCAAUAUCUUUACAGGCUGAAGAUACCAACUUGUUGACUGGAUGAACUCACAGGGACCUGGAGCAGUUCAGUGACUUAGUGUUAAACCUCUGUUUCUUCUUAAGAGGCACAACCAGAGGCUACUGAUACCUUGACCUUUUGUUUCUUGGAGUACCCAGUGGAAAUAAUGGACUAAUAAGAUCCAGGAAGAGUCAGCUGAUGGUCCCACCCAACUGCUGUUGUCAGUCUAUGAAGCCAAGAGAAGUGAUGGUGACGAGAGGUUACUGCCAGCUCCCUGAGGGAUGGUGCUGGCAUUGUGGAUGGACACCGGUUUGUAAGGCACUGCCUGUACAGGUCUCCUCUGAUUUGUCUGCAUUAGUUUCUACUGGAUGUAUCCCUCAUGAGACUGUGCUGACUGAACAAUGCUUGCACUAUUGAAAGUAAUAUCCUGACAAUCCAGUCAUAUCUUAUUACAAGCAGAUUCCAGAGCAAUGUGUACUUGCAAAAAUUUAAUUGCAUACUUGUAUUAAAACACAGUUGUAUUUGCACUGUAAUAUAAAAGAAAUGAAGAAUGCAUGUGGUUGGUAUCUUAUUAUUUAAAAUGAGUAUGGUAAUAUAGUCAUUAAUAUAUUUUUAUGCAUCACUCACUGUAGAAAUUUAAAUUAGUAGUUUACUAUGAUGAGUUUUAAGGCAAUAUUUCUUAUUAAAAAUGGAGCAUCUGAAAGUUUUAGGUUCACAAAGGGUUUAUAAUUAAGCCAUGAAAAUUAAUUUAGCCAUGUAAAACGG